GUUGUAUGGUUAAGUGACUAAGCGUAGACGGUGGAUGCCUUGGCAGUCAGAGGCGAUGAAGGACGUACUAACCUGCGAAAAGCGAUGGUGAGCUGGUAAGAAGCAUUUGAGCCAUCGAUGUCCGAANGAAUGGGGAAACCCACCUGCAUAAGCAGGUAUCUUAGCGUGAAUCCAUAGCGCUAAGAGGCGAACUCGGGGAACUGAAACAUCUAAGUACCCGAAGGAAAAGAAAUCAAUUGAGAUUCCGGCAGUAGCGGCGAGCGACCCCGGAGCAGCCCUUAAGCGGCUUAGGCGUUAGGUGAACAGGUUGGAAAACCUGGCAAUAAAGGGUGAUAGCCCCGUAACCGACGGCGCCUUAGACGUGAAAACGAGUAGGACGGGACACGUGAUAUCUUGUCUGAAKAKGGGGGGACCAUCCUCCAAGGCUAAAUACUCCUGACUGACCGAUAGUGAACCAGUACCGUGAGGGAAAGGCGAAAAGAACCCCUGUGAGGGGAGUGAAAUAGAACCUGAAACCGUCUACGUACAAGCAGUGGGAGCCCCAUCACUAAGACACUUCAUCUUAGUGAGACGCUAUCACUUUGUKGAUUGGGUUAACCACGCGMAGCGUGGGUCAACCRCCCAAUCCAGCAGAGGUGACUUAGUGAUGGGGUGACCGCGUACCUUUUGUAUAAUGGGUCAGCGACUUAAUGUAAGUAGCCAGGUUAACCGCAUAGGGGAGCCGUAGGGAAACCGAGUCUUAACUGGGCGACAGUUGCUUGCAUUAGACCCGAAACCGAGUGAUCUAGCCAUGGGCAGGUUGAAGGUUGAGUAACAUCAACUGGAGGACCGAACUCACUAACGUNGGAGAGGGAAACAACCCAGACCGCCAGCUAAGGUCCCCAAGUUAUCGCUAAGUGGGAAACGAUGUGGGAAGGCUCAGACAGCCAGGAUGUUGGCUUAGAAGCAGCCAUCAUUUAAAGAAAGCGUAAUAGCUCACUGGUCGAGUCGGCCUGCGCGGAAGAUGUAACGGGGCUAAGCGAUACACCGAAGCUGCGGCAAUGGCUGCAUCACUUAAAGCUAUUGGAUUGACGUUAUGCGCGAAGCGCGUGGUUAAUAACGUCAAAGCGCCCAACAAUGGUUGAGGCGAAUAAAGAUAGUGGCUUUAAGGAUGCAGUUAUUGGGUAGGGGAGCGUUGUGUAAGCUGUUGAAGGUGUGCUGAGAGGCAUGCUGGAGGUAUCACAAGUGCGAAUGCUGACAUGAGUAACGAUAAAGGGGGUGAAAAACCUCCUCGCCGGAAGACCAAGGGUUCCUGUCCAACGUUAAUCGGGGCAGGGUAAGUCGGCCCCUAAGGCGAGGCCGAAAGGCGUAGUCGAUGGGAAACGGGUUAAUAUUCCCGUACUGCUACUUACUGCGAUGGGGGGACGGAGAAGGCUAGGUGGGCCUGGCGAUGGUUGUCCAGGUUCAAGUGCGUAGGCUGAUUUCUUAGGCAAAUCCGGGAAAUCAAGGCCGAGACACGAUGUCGAGCCACCAAGGUGGUGAAGCCAUUGAUGCCAUGCUUCCGGGAAAAGCCUCUAAGCUUCAGGUAAGUAGGAACCGUACUCCAAACCGACACAGGUGGUCGGGUAGAGAAUACCAAGGCGCUUGAGAGAACUCGGGUGAAGGAACUAGGCAAAAUGGUACCGUAACUUCGGGAGAAGGUACGCUGCCCGCGGUGAAGUCCCUAGCGGAUGGAGCUAUGGGCAGUCGCAGAUACCAGGUGGCUGCAACUGUUUAUUAAAAACACAGCACUGUGCAAAAUCGAAAGAUGACGUAUACGGUGUGACGCCUGCCCGGUGCCGGAA
Molecule: ribosomal RNA, 1823 nt
Filed under: Salinivibrio kushneri
Lineage: Bacteria; Pseudomonadati; Pseudomonadota; Gammaproteobacteria; Vibrionales; Vibrionaceae
Description: bacterial LSU rRNA
Rfam family: Bacterial large subunit ribosomal RNA
Source: RNAcentral